RNAcentral lists this small RNA (543 nucleotides) under Arabidopsis thaliana (thale cress). Its description in RNAcentral is "ATSL281970". Lineage: Eukaryota; Viridiplantae; Streptophyta; Magnoliopsida; Brassicales; Brassicaceae. The record is from RNAcentral.
AGUAUACACUAGAAUUUAACCCGCGGGCAAUCGCGGGCAAUCGGUAGAUUUGGUUUUUAUACUAAAUAUUUGAAUAAAUUUGAUAUUUUAAAUUUAUAAAUAUAAAUAUCUAGUGAUUAGUGAAGAAUCGUAAUAUAUGAUUUGGAUAUUAUCGAUUAUUGAUUUUGUGAUUGAGUAUAGUGUUUUAGGGAUGGAAUGUGAUCAUAUUUUGAUUUCAAAAACGACAUAAAUUCUUUAUUUUGUUAAACGGUUUAGAUUGAAGGGAAUUAAUUUUAUUGAACGGUUUAGAUUGAAUCGGAUCAUAUAAAGUUUAGGAGAUUGUUAAUACCAAAUUACUCUUAAUGAUUUUGAAUAGCAAAGAACAAAAUCCAAAAUUGAAAUCAAAAUUGAAGCCAAAUUUAGACAAAAUUUCAAUUUGUACUUCCCUUUUAAUAAUGUAGGGAUAAAUUCGAAGAUAUGGUCCAUAGAUCAACUUUUCUUGCAAAAACUUAGAAUGUCUCUAGUACAUGGUAAAUUGGCAGUCAAAUUCUAUUUGAAUUUCAU